AGUAAUUUAGGUUAAAAGACUGUCUGUUUUCAAAACAGGAGGUGAUUGUUUUUGUCAGUUACUG
This 64-nucleotide transfer RNA is filed under the name Orientocreadium sp. HS. RNAcentral's name for it is "tRNA-Trp". It matches the Rfam family "tRNA". From Rfam's summary of the family: Transfer RNA (tRNA) molecules are approximately 80 nucleotides in length. Their secondary structure includes four short double-helical elements and three loops (D, anti-codon, and T loops). Further hydrogen bonds mediate the characteristic L-shaped molecular structure. tRNAs have two regions of fundamental functional importance: the anti-codon, which is responsible for specific mRNA codon recognition, and the 3' end, to which the tRNAs corresponding amino acid is attached (by aminoacyl-tRNA synthetases). tRNAs cope with the degeneracy of the genetic code in two manners: having more than one tRNA (with a specific anti-codon) for a particular amino acid; and 'wobble' base-pairing, i.e. permitting non-standard base-pairing at the 3rd anti-codon position. The record is from RNAcentral. Lineage: Eukaryota; Metazoa; Platyhelminthes; Trematoda; Plagiorchiida; Orientocreadiidae.